AGAGAGAGACAUGCGCGCAUAUCAAUAAGCGGAGGAAAAGAAACUAACAAGGAUUCCCUUAGUAACGGCGAGUGAAGCGGGAAGAGCUCAAAUUUGAAAUCUUCAAGGUUUUACCUUGACGAAUUGUAGUUUAAAGAAGUGUUUUCUGCUGAAGUUUUGGUAAAAGUUCCUUUGGAAUAGGACAUCAUAGAGGGUGAGAAUCCCGUAUUUGACCAUUAUUUUCAGCUUUGUGAUACACUCUCAAAGAGUCGGAUUGUUUGGGAAUGCAGUCCAAAAUGGGUGGUAAAUUUCAUCUAAAGCUAAAUAUUGGCGAGAGACCGAUAGCGAACAAGUACCGUGAGGGAAAGAUGAAAAGAACUUUGAAAAGAGAGUUAAACAGUACGUGAAAUUGUCAAAAGGGAAGCGUUUGACACCAGUGUUGUUUUCUCGAAAAUCAAUUAAAAAUGGCUCGAUUUUGUAUUGUUGAGACCUUAAAAGCUCACUGUACACUUUCUCGUGUCUUUUUUAAUGCACUUUUCGUUUAACAAGUCAACAUCAGUUUCUUUUGUUGUAAAAGGGUCAUUGGAAGGUGGCUUUCUUUUCGGAGAAAGUGUUUAUAGCCUUUGGCCUCUGCAAUCGAAGAGACUGAGGUCUGCAGCGUAGACUCUUCGGGGUUAGAUACAUUUGUGCUAAGUUAUAGCCUUUUCAUAGACAACUUGUUGACUAUGAUCAGUCAUGUAGCUUACUCGCUUAUGCUAUUUUACCUACGCUUAGGAUGUUGAAGAUGUAGCACAUCAU
This 777-nucleotide ribosomal RNA is filed under the name uncultured Neocallimastigales. RNAcentral describes it as "partial large subunit ribosomal RNA". It matches the Rfam family "Eukaryotic large subunit ribosomal RNA", at positions 23 to 634 of the family's 3401-position model. Lineage: Eukaryota; Fungi; Neocallimastigomycota; Neocallimastigomycetes; Neocallimastigales. The record is from RNAcentral.